This 240-nucleotide unclassified non-coding RNA is filed under the name soil metagenome. RNAcentral's name for it is "partial contains 5.8S ribosomal RNA, internal transcribed spacer 2, and large subunit ribosomal RNA". The record is from RNAcentral.
AACGAGGCCGACCUGCGGCUGAGUUACCUGCGGAAGGAUCAUUAAAAAGAGUGUGUACCCCCCUGUAAAAUGGGUGGGUUACCUCCCGUCCUUUGUUGACCUCUUAGGAGGUUAUUUUGAACUUUUCUGCUUCGGUGGGGUUAAACCUACCGGAACACCCUCAAAUUCUGAUCAUUUAAAAAUUGUUCAGUCCGAUUUUUGUUAAUAAAAACAAAAAACUUUCAACAAUGGAUCUCAGAU